Molecule: ribosomal RNA, 625 nt
Filed under: uncultured bacterium
Lineage: Bacteria
Description: bacterial SSU rRNA
Rfam family: Bacterial small subunit ribosomal RNA (bases 1-534)
Source: RNAcentral
CCUACGGGAGGCAGCAGUAAGGAAUAUUGGUCAAUGGAGGCAACUCUGAACCAGCCAUGCCGCGUGCAGGAAGACAGCCCUAUGGGUCGUAAACUGCUUUUAUACGGGAAUAAACUUUGAUUCGUGAAUCAAGCUGAAUGUACCGUAAGAAUAAGGAUCGGCUAACUCCGUGCCAGCAGCCGCGGUAAUACGGAGGAUCCAAGCGUUAUCCGGAUUUAUUGGGUUUAAAGGGAGCGUAGGCGGCCUAUUAAGUCAGGGGUNAAAGACGGUGGCUCAACCAUCGCAGUGCCUUUGAUACUGAUGGGCUUGAAUAUAGUUGAGGUAGGCGGAAUGUGACAAGUAGCGGUGAAAUGCAUAGAUAUGUCACAGAACACCGAUUGCGAAGGCAGCUUACUAAGCUAUGAUUGACGCUGAGGCUCGAAAGCGUGGGGAUCAAACAGGAUUAGAUACCCUGGUAGUCCACGCCCUAAACGAUGAUAACUCGAUGUUGGCCGAUAUANAGCAGCGUCCACGACGAAGACGUAGUUAGUCACCGACGGAGGUACGCCCGACCGAGGUAGGAAACGUACGAAAGAAGUAGUAGACGACGAGACGACGACGACGGACGGACGACGAGGAGGAGGAG